CUGUAUUCACUUGGCCACUGUUGUAGGGAUGGCGCUCACUGCUGUCCAAGUGGCUACAUCUGUGACAGCAGCUCUUACAAAUGCCAGAAAGAUUAUCUGCGCAUAGCCGCCUCUCCCCAGCUGCCUGCCCUCAGAUCUGAUGGCUAUCAGCAGAGAGACC
Long non-coding RNA from Alosa sapidissima (American shad), 160 nucleotides. RefSeq lists it as uncharacterized. The record is from RefSeq and is a predicted model, not a curated record. Lineage: Eukaryota; Metazoa; Chordata; Actinopteri; Clupeiformes; Clupeidae. The transcript has 3 exons.